RNAcentral lists this ribosomal RNA (293 nucleotides) under uncultured bacterium. Its description in RNAcentral is "partial 16S ribosomal RNA". It matches the Rfam family "Bacterial small subunit ribosomal RNA", at positions 505 to 796 of the family's 1533-position model. The record is from RNAcentral.
GUGUCAGCAGCCGCGGUAAGACAGAGGGUGCGAACGUUGCUCGGAAUUACUGGGCGUAAAGCGUGUGUAGGCGGCCACGCAAGUCGGAUGUGAAAGCCCUGGGCUCAACCCAGGAAGUGCACCCGAUACUGCGACGGCUUGAGUACCGGAGAGGUUGGUGGAAUUCUCGGUGUAGAGGUGAAAUUCGUAGAUAUCGAGAGGAACACCGGUGGCGAAGGCGGCCAACUGGACGAGUACUGACGCUGAGACACGAAAGCGUGGGGAGCAAACAGGAUUAGAUACCCUUGUAGUCC